RNAcentral lists this ribosomal RNA (475 nucleotides) under uncultured organism. Its description in RNAcentral is "partial 16S ribosomal RNA". It matches the Rfam family "Bacterial small subunit ribosomal RNA", at positions 335 to 801 of the family's 1533-position model. The record is from RNAcentral.
ACUCCUACGGGAGGCAGCAGUGGGGAAUUUUGGACAAUGGGCGAAAGCCUGAUCCAGCAAUGCCGCGUGAGUGAAGAAGGCCUUCGGGUUGUAAAGCUCUUUUGUCAGGGAAGAAACGGUGAGAGCUAAUAUCUUUUGCUAAUGACGGUACCUGAAGAAUAAGCACCGGCUAACUACGUGCCAGCAGCCGCGGUAAUACGUAGGGUGCAAGCGUUAAUCGGAAUUACUGGGCGUAAAGCGUGCGCAGGCGGUUUUGUAAGUCUGAUGUGAAAUCCCCGGGCUCAACCUGGGAAUUGCAUUGGAGACUGCAAGGCUAGAAUCUGGCAGAGGGGGGUAGAAUUCCACGUGUAGCAGUGAAAUGCGUAGAUAUGUGGAGGAACACCGAUGGCGAAGGCAGCCCCCUGGGUCAAGAUUGACGCUCAUGCACGAAAGCGUGGGGAGCAAACAGGAUUAGAAACCCCGGUAGUCCCAUGAU